CAAUAGCGUAUAUUUAAGUUGUUGCAGUUAAAAAGCUCGUAGUUGGAUUUCGGUUAAGAGCGACCGGUCCGCCGUUUGGUGUGCACUGGUUGGUUUUAACUUCCUGUAGAGGACGUGCUCUGGGUUUAACGACCUGGACUCGGAGUCUACGUGGUUACUUUGAAAAAAUUAGAGUGUUCAAAGCGGGCUUACGCUUGAAUAUUUCAGCAUGGAAUAACACUAUAGGACUCCUGUCCUAUUUCGUUGGUCUCGGGACGGGAGUAAUGAUUAAGAGGAACAGUUGGGGGCAUUCGUAUUUCGUUGUCAGAGGUGAAAUUCUUGGAUUUAUGAAAGACGAACUUCUGCGAAAGCAUUUGCCAAGGAUGUUUUCAUUAA
Molecule: ribosomal RNA, 375 nt
Filed under: uncultured eukaryote
Lineage: Eukaryota
Description: partial 18S ribosomal RNA
Rfam family: Eukaryotic small subunit ribosomal RNA
Source: RNAcentral